Long non-coding RNA from Gigantopelta aegis, 198 nucleotides. RefSeq lists it as uncharacterized. The record is from RefSeq and is a predicted model, not a curated record. Lineage: Eukaryota; Metazoa; Mollusca; Gastropoda; Neomphalida; Peltospiridae. The transcript has 2 exons.
CAUACCUGUUUUUUCUCUUCAGAUCUCUUCGACUUUGAUAAAAACAAGGACGGGUUUUUGGACCAAUCAGAGCUGGAAGAUGUCAUGAACACGCGGGAAGCACGUGAUGUUCUGGAAAUGGCCGACGAAGACGGAAACUCCAAGGUAUCGAUGGAGGAGUUUCAAAACAUGUUAACAGAGAUGGGUAAACUGGAAUAA